AAGUCGUAACAAGGUUUCCGUAGGUGAACCUGCGGAAGGAUCAAUCACAAAUACAUACUAACCUAAUCUCAGCCUGUGCUCCACGUGAGUAAGCAGAACAAAACUCUUAAUUUACAACAAAAAUUUUCAACGGUGGAUGUCUUGGCUCUCAU
This 152-nucleotide unclassified non-coding RNA is filed under the name fungal sp. Its description in RNAcentral is "partial internal transcribed spacer region". The stretch from base 1 to 46 matches the Rfam family "Eukaryotic small subunit ribosomal RNA", at positions 1786 to 1831 of the family's 1831-position model. Lineage: Eukaryota; Fungi. The record is from RNAcentral.